CUCUGGCUUAAUAGAAGAAAGGGGAUUCUCAUAUCUGCUUCUGCCUCUAAUGUCUUGACACGUUAUUUUGGUCAAAUUACAUGAAGAAAAUCCAGCCUCACACAAAUUUGUAGUUGGAAAAGGGAGGAAUAUUUUAAUAGCCUUCCAGAUAGCUGAAGACAUUCAUCUUUGACACGACAGCAAAGUUCAACAAGUGGUAGGUUCUUCAAAGUUGGUUGCAAUGUGGGAUCUGACAACCCUAUCGAUGAUUUCAUACUCUGUCACAUCGCUCUGUCUUAGACUCUCGGUACAUAUUUCAUGAUAGCUGGCAUUCGACGUUUUGAAAAUAUUGAUUCACUAAGUUAUGCAUAUUUUCCAAAUGUUAACACAUUUUGUUAUACAAUACGAAAAAGUAACACUUUUUAAUCUCCACCAGUCUCAUCAGAAAAGCCUAGACAUUGGAAAGCUGUCGAGCUCACAGGACAGAUACAAAUUUUACAAAAUUCAAAUUUCCUUUUGAAAGCUUGGUGAUCAUUGGUGAUAAAUAUUGUGGGUUGUUUUCUUAAAAGACAGGCUCACUUAGUUCAUUUUCGAGCAAAUGUCUGCCAAACACCCCAGUUGGAAUAACCAUGGUUAUUUGGCAGCUCAUUCAGCUUGCAACUCAAGCAGAUGAGUGCUCGCCCUCAAAACCAUCACCCUCUGGUGUGCAGCAGAAAUGCUUUCUGUGUACUUCCCAUUUUGUCACAGGGAACAUUAAAAAGAUGUCUACUGAAGGGUCAAGAUUUAAUAAAAUUAUAACCUUUAUGCUUCAUCAAGGACAUUCUUAGGAGAAACUGGACUCUGCUUCUGUCCGUCUUGCUGUCUACUGCGAGUGUGUGAAGAACGCCAGCAGUGCUGGUAGUGUUGUGCCAGGCAGGACUCGUGCUCAGGUGCCAACCGCUGAGCCCACGAGGCCUGUGCACCAUUAGUGCAAUGCUCAGCCAGCGACAAAGGCGAAGGGCGUUCACCUGGGCACCCUCACACUUGAAGAACACAGCUCUCAUCUUUAUUGCUCAAGGUACUUUAGGUGGCAGAUGACAGAAAUCCAACAAGUUGCUUAAGCAAACAAAACAAAACAAAACGAUAUAUGUGCUCACAUAGCUGGGCAGGCUUGAGCGGAUCUCGCCUCCAGCAUGACUGGAUUCAGGGCUCAAAGAAUGUUAACGCCUCUCUCUCCCUCUUUCUCUCUCCACAUCUCAACUCUCUUUUCUCUGUACUUUGGCUUAAUUCUCAUCUCCUAUAAUGGGCGCUCUGCGUAUGUCAGGAAACACAGCCACCAGCAGCUCUAAAACUACACCUGCUUGUAAUUCCAGGAAGAGAGGUCUUUUACGUAGUGUCUGGCCAUCCAGUCUCAUGGAAGAUUCCAGGUAGAGAGGUCUUUUACGUAGUGUCUGGCCAUCCAGUCUCAUGGAAGAUUCCAGGAAGAGAGGUCUUUUACGUAGUGUCUGGCCAUCCAGUCUCAUGGAAGAUUCCAGGUAGAGAGGUCUUUUACGUAGUGUCUGGCCAUCCGGUCUCAUGGAAGAUUCCAGGAAGAGAGGUCUUUUACGUAGUGUCUGGCCAUCCGGUCUCAUGGAAGAUUCCAGGUAGCCCAGCUAGAGCCAGGUAUCCAUCCCCUGCACCUCUGCGGGAGCCAGAGGUCCGGCUGGGUGGCCACGUGGGCGGCCAGCGGGGAGGUGCUGAGCCUGGCGGCCCCAUCAGAGCCUCAUGAUUGGCACAGGGAGAGGGCUGUGGCCCCAGGAGAGAGGGAAAGCGCCGGGCAGACAACAUAGCAGAUAUCCAUGACAAAUACUGCACUGCCAAGGUUCUCCUCUGCUUUGAGUGUUUCUAAUCAAGAGAGAAUAGAGAUCAGUGAACUGCUCUCAACUCCAUGUUCUCUUGUGUCUCAGCCCCACCACCUCACUGCUAAACCCCGUGCUGCAACGCCAGAGCAGACCCAAUUCCACGGAGGAGCCUGUGUCUGAAGCUCUUUUCUGUUAGGGUCAAAAGUGAGCUAAUGUCUUCUAAAUGGAACAACCUGGAGGGCUUUCUGGAAAAUACAGAAGGUGUUCAGGGAGAAUGGGCGUCAUAAAUAACGGAAGACAUGGCCCUUGCUAGAAGCUACAUAGGAAUACCUGGUUAAAAAGUACGUUUCAGGAGCAUUUUAAAAGAAAGAGCCAAAAUAAAAGGUGGCUGCGUGGGGCUGGCCCCGUGGCCGAGUGGUUAAGUUCGCGCGCUCCGCUGCAGGCGGCCCAGUGUUUCCUUGGUUCGAAUCCUGGGCGUGGACAUGGCACUGUUCGUCAGACCACGCUGAGGCAGCGUCCCACAUGCCACAACUAGAAGGAGCCACAACGAA
RNAcentral lists this long non-coding RNA (2350 nucleotides) under Equus asinus (donkey). RNAcentral describes it as "lncRNA (ENSEASG00005027628.1)". The record is from RNAcentral. Lineage: Eukaryota; Metazoa; Chordata; Mammalia; Perissodactyla; Equidae.